This 320-nucleotide ribosomal RNA is filed under the name uncultured eukaryote. RNAcentral's name for it is "partial 18S ribosomal RNA". It matches the Rfam family "Eukaryotic small subunit ribosomal RNA", at positions 1470 to 1796 of the family's 1831-position model. The record is from RNAcentral.
CCCCUAGAUGUUCUGGGCUGCACGCGCGCUACACUGAACAGUUCAACAAGUCUUAACCUUGGCCGAUAGGUCUGGGUAAUCUUUGAACGCUGUUCGUGAUUGGGAUAGACCUUUGCAAUUAUGGGUCUUCAACGAGGAAUUCCUAGUAAACGCAAGUCAUCAGCUUGCAUUGAUUACGUCCCUGCCCUUUGUACACACCGCCCGUCGCACCUACCGAUUGAAUGGUCCGGUGAAAUCUCGGGACGGCGGCUCGGUCGCUUGCGUCCGACUGCUGAAACUUGAUUAAACCAUAUCAUUUAGAGGAAGGUGAAGUCGUAACA